CAGUAGCCGCGGGAACACGUAGGGCGCAAGCGUUGUCCGGAAUUAUUGGGCGUAAAGAGCUCGUAGGCGGUCUGUCGCGUCUGGUGUGAAAUCCCGAGGCUCAACCUCGGGCUUGCAUCGGGUACGGGCAGACUAGAGUGCGGUAGGGGAGACUGGAAUUCCUGGUGUAGCGGUGGAAUGCGCAGAUAUCAGGAGGAACACCGAUGGCGAAGGCAGGUCUCUGGGCCGCAACUGACGCUGAGGAGCGAAAGCAUGGGGAGCGAACAGGAUUAGAUACCCCCGUAGUCCCUGUCUCUUAUAC
RNAcentral lists this ribosomal RNA (301 nucleotides) under uncultured bacterium. RNAcentral's name for it is "partial 16S ribosomal RNA". It matches the Rfam family "Bacterial small subunit ribosomal RNA", at positions 509 to 807 of the family's 1533-position model. The record is from RNAcentral.